GUCUACGGCCAUACCACCUUGAAUGCACCUGAUCUUGUCAGCUACGCAGGGUCUGGCCUGGUUAGUACUUGGAUGGGAGACCACAUGGGAAUACCGGAUGCUGUAGGCU
Gorilla gorilla gorilla (western lowland gorilla) is the source of this 109-nucleotide ribosomal RNA. The record is from Ensembl. Lineage: Eukaryota; Metazoa; Chordata; Mammalia; Primates; Hominidae.